ACAGCAGUCGCCACGGUAAUACGAGGGGGGCAAGCGUUGUUCGGAAUUAUUGGGCGUAAAGGGUGCGUAGGCGGUUUGAUAAGUUUGGUGUGAAAUCUCUGGGCUCAACCCAGAGUCUGCAUCGAAAACUGUCGGGCUUGAGUAUGGGAGAGGUGAGUGGAAUUUCCGGUGUAGCGGUGAAAUGCGUAGAUAUCGGAAGGAACACCUGUGGCGAAAGCGGCUCACUGGACCAUAACUGACGCUGAUGCACGAAAGCUAGGGGAGCAAACAGGAUUAGAUACCCCUGUAGUCCCUGUCUCUUAUAC
This 305-nucleotide ribosomal RNA is filed under the name uncultured bacterium. RNAcentral describes it as "partial 16S ribosomal RNA". It matches the Rfam family "Bacterial small subunit ribosomal RNA", at positions 505 to 807 of the family's 1533-position model. The record is from RNAcentral.